UGAAUCUGAGACCCAGAUAAAGCCCCAGGGGACCAUCUUAAGGACCCAAGCAGCGAAUUUUAUGGAUCAGAUGACAAGUCGGUAGAAGCCAGAUUAUUUUUCCGAGUCCAGCAAGGCCUUGGAGCCUGCCUCCUCCUUCCCUGACCCUCUCCAAACUGCUCCAGCCAAGUGAGGUUUGAAGAAAAUACGGUCUGUGCAGGCUGACAGCGUGAUGGGAUGCAGGGCUCUCCUCCUCCACACUGACCGCCCGGGCUGGGCGGGAGCGGCUGGCCAUCGCCAGCAACGCCGCCUCUCCCCGCUCUCGCUCCGACCCCGCCAUCGCCGACACUUGGCUUUUAUUUUACGAUUGUGUUUAUACAGCAAACAUACUUUGGAAAAAGAAGCACUCUCUCUGGCUGCCGGCCACACCACCUUGUGGUUUCAGAACAAAGCAGGGCUGCGUCUGAUCCCUGGGUGCAGAGGAGUCCACCCAAGGGGACAUAGGUGCUCUGAGACAGUGUUGCCAUUGACUCAGGGUCUGGCAUCCCCUCUUCUGAGUCACAUGCCCUUGUGACAAGAGGUGGGCGCUUUCAGUCUCCUGGGGAAGAAGCCUCAGCACAAAGUCAGAGACCCUGCCCGUGUUUGUACCUGUAACAUCCACUGUGUUCCAUCAAGAAUAAAAAGAUGACCUAAAAUCUACCAGCUCCCGAGAACAGUGUAAGUGCUUCCCAGACUUCUAUCAUCGUCAUUAGUAAGGUACCGCCAGGCACUGUCUUUGUGCUUUGUAAAUAUUUUCUCUAAUUCUUACAGCAGCCCGGGAGGAAAAGUAUCAUUAUCCCGUUUUAGAGAUUUGGCUCAGAGAAGUUAAGUAACUUGCCCAAAGUUGCAGAGCUGGGCAGUGUUAGAGGCUGUCUAACUCCAAAGUCUAAGCUCUUUAUAAGAAAGUCUGCAGCUUCUUAAUACUUUUUCACUCCUUUCUUCUUCUUCUUCUUCUUCUUCUCCUUCUCCUUCUCCUUCUCCCUCCCCUCCCCCUCCCUCUCUCUUCUUCUUCUUCUUCUUCUUCUUCUUCUUCUUCUUCUUCUUCUUCUUUUUUCUGUCUUGAUGGACCACACAGGGUCUGACCAUAAGCAGCAUCAGAUCCUCAGGGUUCAUGGGUCCCUUGGCCUCUCCUUGGAGAGAAGUUGCCUCUUCACUUCUCCAAUCCCUGGCCUCUGGGGUUGUCUGAGGAAUCCCUGCCAUGUUUCUCAGGGACUGAGCUGUGAAGAGUGAUGGUCUUUGGGCCAAACGUCCUUCCCAGUGCCUCUCACGGAAUUGCUGAAAAUAUCAGUUAGGGGUGGGGUUGGCGUGGACCUCAGAGUGUUGCCUCCUGGGAGCCGCCUUCCCACCCAGCUGACUGCACGUCCACGUCCUUCCCACCUACAUUGGGUGGUGAGUUCCAUACGACUCUGGGAGACUUGGCAGGCUGAGCUCUAACAGCUGUGGGCCUGAGGGAGAUGGCCAGGGAGGGGGAAGAGGUCCCACAAUCAGGCCCUGAGGAGCAAGCCUGAGAAGGGAGGAAGCAUGGAGGUGCCCACCCACAAAGUCCAGCCAGGACCCCUAAAACCACAGCUACUGUAGCCAGGGACACUGUAGCCACUGGAUUUGCAGGCUUAGUGGCUCACGGGGAAGCGGACAGAGAACAUUCUGUAACUUUAAGGUCUGUGGGACGAAGGAACAACUGUUCACCUGUCAACCCCACCUUCUCUUUUUCAUUUUUGCCAAAGCUGUGUGUGUGUGUGUGUGUGUGUGUGCGCGCGCGCGCAUGUGCCUGUCUGUGUCUGUCUGUGUGAAGGCCAUCAUUGUACCCAGAGCUCAAACAUCUCAUGCCUGGAGUGAGGCCAAGAAUUCUUCAAGGUAGAACCUGUGACAUUGAUGGUGAGAGCUAGAUAGGGCAUCCCAAACACCCACAGUGGAACAAAAGAAUGACUGUACAAGUGAAUCAAGGAGUGAAGGAAUCAACAAACUAAUGAGACCAGAGAUCUAUGUUGGGCUGUUCUCAUCUUUCGUCUCUUUUUCUCCUUCUCUCUAUGAGUUCCACAAGCUGCCUAGGAAUCCUGGGCCCUCCUGUGAAUGAACACAGUUUGAAUCAACCUAUCAACGACCCUCAGAUACAGCAUCCAGAUACAUCAUUGCCAAGGUGACGACCGUCUCCUACAACACCUAUUCCAGGCAAUCUGAAGAAAGAAAGCGCUGGAGCACUGGGCUAGAAUCAGAAGACCCACACUCGAGCUCCAGUCUGGCUCCCAGUUCGUUGGGUGGCCUUAAUUAGGACUCUUCUUCUCUGGCCAUUAGCUGCGGACUCUCUCAAAGCAGUGCACGGCCUAGGGAGGCUGCUAAAGCCCAUCAAACUAUGGUUCUCUGUAAGUGGCCUCUGAAGGUGCCCACAGCCAUCACAUACUUGACCUAUGGUACAGGAGCCACAGUCAUUGCAGACCACAGACUCCUUAAGAGACCCCAGCUGAAUUUUCAAGUGUCUGUAGCUUCCUUCUGUCUUCCAGCUCCUGGAAAUGAGGCCCUGAGGGAGCCUGACAAGGCCUGUCCUGGGAGGUGCCAGCGGAAAGGGAAGGAGAGUCCCAGGCAGAGAACCGAUUAAAUAGCAUUUUAUCCCAAUAAUGAUGUCUCCAAGAGAACCCCUCUAAGCACCAGAUCCACUCUCCAGGGGACACUAGUUAACAGCAAGACCAGCACAGAAGAGUUGAAGGACUCCUGUUGGUGGCCACCUGUCUCUUGUUGCCAUGGGUUGGUUCCAACAUGAAGGAAUAUUUUACCACAUAAAGAACCACUGCAGAACUUAA
Felis catus (domestic cat) is the source of this 2813-nucleotide long non-coding RNA. RefSeq lists it as uncharacterized. The record is from RefSeq and is a predicted model, not a curated record. The transcript is spliced from 2 exons. Lineage: Eukaryota; Metazoa; Chordata; Mammalia; Carnivora; Felidae.